CACUGGGAACUUUCUUGUAGUUCUCACACCACUAACCAUACAGGUUCCAGUGCGAGUAUUGUGGCCGAGGAUCGAGGCAAGAGCCAGCAGCCUAGCUAGUGGACACCCGAGUACUAGUGGUAUACCAUUUGGGUUCAUGUAUCAUCUAUUUCGAUGUACAGAGACAUGUAAAUGAAUGUAUUAUAAAGCAUGUAAAUAGCUAAAUGUUUCAGUUAUACAGUUCAGUUUGAAAGUUUUAAGUUACAGUGAAUUUCAUUAUACAGUUAGUUUACUAUCAC
RNAcentral lists this long non-coding RNA (278 nucleotides) under Ananas comosus (pineapple). Its description in RNAcentral is "long non-coding RNA (ACOM_LNC037753)". Lineage: Eukaryota; Viridiplantae; Streptophyta; Magnoliopsida; Poales; Bromeliaceae. The record is from RNAcentral.